Molecule: ribosomal RNA, 468 nt
Filed under: uncultured bacterium
Lineage: Bacteria
Description: partial 16S ribosomal RNA
Rfam family: Bacterial small subunit ribosomal RNA
Source: RNAcentral
GACGAACGCUGGCGGCGUGCUUAACACAUGCAAGUCGAACGGAAAGGCCCUGCUUUUGUGGGGUGCUCGAGUGGCGAACGGGUGAGUAACACGUGAGUACCCUGUCCCUGACUUUGGGAUAUCUUCAGGAAACUGGGGCUCUUACCGCAUAGGAGCUCCUGCUGCAUGGUGGGCGUUGGAAAGUUUCGGCGGUUGGGGAUGUACUCGCGGCUUAUCAGCUCGUUGGGGGGGUAGUGGCUGACCAAGGCUAGGAGGGGUAGCCGGCCUACGAGGGUGACCGGGCACAUGAGGACUGAGAUAGGGCACAGACGCCUACGGUAGGCAGCAGUGGGGAAUAUUGCACAAUGGGCGGAAGCCAGAUGUAGCAACGCCGCGUGCGGGAAGACGGCCUUCGGGUUGUGAACCGCUGUCGCCUGAGCCGAGGCGUGAGUGACGGUAAUGGGUAAAGAAGCACCGGCUAACUACGUG